RNA transcript from Zea mays, 164 nucleotides. It is a transcript of the gene named protein phosphatase 2C and cyclic nucleotide-binding/kinase domain pseudogene, with no coding region annotated. Lineage: Eukaryota; Viridiplantae; Streptophyta; Magnoliopsida; Poales; Poaceae. The transcript is spliced from 2 exons. The record is from RefSeq and is marked validated.
GAUACCCAGUUGUAUAUAUGUUUCUCAGGAAUGGAAAAUGUGCAUAUAUGGUGCUGAUUGCAGUGAGAUUAGCCUCGUCCAAGUUAGGGGAUCUGCCAUGAACUAGACAAGAUUAGAAGUUUAAAGAGGCCUUACAUCAAGAGAGUACAAGAUCGCCAUAAGGA